RNAcentral lists this ribosomal RNA (364 nucleotides) under bacterium enrichment culture clone 2B. RNAcentral describes it as "bacterial SSU rRNA". It matches the Rfam family "Bacterial small subunit ribosomal RNA", at positions 128 to 505 of the family's 1533-position model. The record is from RNAcentral.
GCCCUUCACUCUGGGAUAAGCACUGGAAACGGUGUCUAAUACUGGAUAUGCACAAUGGCCGCAUGGUCUGUUGUGGGAAAGAUUUAUCGGUGAAGGAUGGGCUCGCGGCCUAUCAGCUUGUUGGUGAGGUAGUGGCUCACCAAGGCGACGACGGGUAGCCGGCCUGAGAGGGUGACCGGCCACACUGGGACUGAGACACGGCCCAGACUCCUACGGGAGGCAGCAGUGGGGAAUAUUGCACAAUGGGCGCAAGCCUGAUGCAGCAACGCCGCGUGAGGGAUGACGGCCUUCGGGUUGUAAACCUCUUUUAGUAGGGAAGAAGCGAAAGUGACGGUACCUGCAGAAAAAGCACCGGCUAACUACG